This is a long non-coding RNA of Carya illinoinensis, 932 nucleotides long. RefSeq lists it as uncharacterized. Lineage: Eukaryota; Viridiplantae; Streptophyta; Magnoliopsida; Fagales; Juglandaceae. The transcript has 2 exons. The record is from RefSeq and is a predicted model, not a curated record.
AAAAUCUAUGCAUAUACCCAUCAAACAAAGCUAUAUUUGGAUGUUAAUAAUGUACAAGCUUGAAGAUCAGAGUAUCAAUCGACCCUCCUGAUCGUAAUGAAAUGAGUAGGAAAUUACGACUUUUGACUAUUCUAGCCAUGGCGACGAAGUCUUCAACUUUACCUACGAGUACUGCCUAAAACACUGCAUUGAUCUUCCGAUCCACCUAGAGUAUCAAUCCCUCCUGAUCUUAAUGAAAUGAGUAGCUAGGAAAUUACGACUUUUGACUAUCUAGCUAGCCAUGGUGAGAAAGUCUUCAACGUUACCUAUAAGUACUGCCUAAAAUACUGCAUUCUUCUCAUCCACCUCGCUUAUACUCUUUGAUCGAUCAUUCCUACAUUUGCAAAAUGGUAUUCUCUAACAAUUCCAAAGUUAUGGUACUCAUGAUGGCUCUUAUUGUAGCAAUCAUGUUGCUCAGUACUACGUGCUCUGAGGCAGCUUUGGCCAAUCCAAACCUUGGACGAAGAGUACUAGGUGUCAUGCGCAGGCAAUCUCAGGAAAUUCCUACAUAUACAGCUGUACCUAUAGGAGGAGGAGGAGGAUACUCAUAUUCGCCCCCGAGGCCAUGAGAAAGGAGUGGGCUAUACCGGUCACAAGAACCGCCAUAAUCGCCAGCCGGGGAAAUAAUUAAUACAUAUUUAGUUGAGCUCGCGCGCACUCACACACACAUAUAUUAAUAUUUGCAUUCAAAAUUUUAAAUUUGAUAUUCGAACCAGAUAUCUAUCCUCUUAGGGUUUGGUUCUGUACCAGCUGCACUCUGUUGCAUGCAUAGUAGUGUUUAAUAAGAUCUUUGUGGUGAUUAGAUUAUUAAGUCUUACGAGUACUAGCUAGCUUGUGUAAUGAUGUGUGUGAUCAAAGUAUAAUGACAAUCUCUGUUGGGUUCUUUUGAAUAA